ACAGCUCAAAUUUGAAAUCUGGCUCCCUUCAGGGUGUCCGAGUUGUAAUUUGUAGAGGAUGCUUUCGGCGAGGCGGCUGGUCGAGUCCUCUGGAAUGAGGCGCCACAGAGGGUGAGAGCCCCGUAUGAUCAGAAGGCCGAGCCGGUGUAAAGCUCCUUCGACGAGUCGAGUAGUUUGGGAAUGCUGCUCUAAACGGGAGGUAAAUUUCUUCUAAAGCUAAAUACCGGCCAGAGACCGAUA
RNAcentral lists this ribosomal RNA (240 nucleotides) under Ophioceras sp. RNAcentral's name for it is "partial large subunit ribosomal RNA". It matches the Rfam family "Eukaryotic large subunit ribosomal RNA", at positions 104 to 339 of the family's 3401-position model. The record is from RNAcentral. Lineage: Eukaryota; Fungi; Ascomycota; Sordariomycetes; Magnaporthales; Ophioceraceae.